ACCCGCUGAACUUAAGCAUAUCAAUAAGCGGAGGGA
Molecule: ribosomal RNA, 36 nt
Filed under: Pochonia chlamydosporia
Lineage: Eukaryota; Fungi; Ascomycota; Sordariomycetes; Hypocreales; Clavicipitaceae
Description: partial 28S ribosomal RNA
Source: RNAcentral